GAGGAAAUGAGACAGGAUGGGUUGGAGAGAUACCAAAAGGACAGAUGAUAGAAGCCAUGCUGAAGUGUUUGAGCUUUGUCCUCAGGAUCACUGGGAGAAUAGCAGGAAGUGACAUAGAAGGCAGACUCAUAUAUAAGCAAGGGCAAGAAGGAAGUCGUUCUUUUCUCUCUCUUCCUCCUACUCUCUGCUCUGGAGCUGCCAUGUGAUCGCUGCAAGAGAAGACACCAGCAGCUGGCGUCUGAUAAGAUAAGUCUUUAUGGUUGAUAAUUAAGACUAGCAUAUCAGAAUUCCUAGUCUUUGACCAAGCAGCAUUUGUAACAAAUAUAAACCUCUAUGUGUUAUUUGGGGCCCUAACAUGGUGGGCAGAAUCGGGUGGCUUUGGAGUAAAGAUUUAUCAUAACAUCACCAUUGCACCUUAAGGAUAUCUUGCCACAUUCGUCUUAGUCCUUAAGAGGAGGGCCUAUAGCUGUUGUUUCUCUAAAUGUUCAUGUUGUCAAAUUGCUUUCUAGAUAUUUACAUGUAUAUCCAUAGAUUUUGUUGCUCCAAGUCUUGGUGAGAAGGGUAUCUUGCUGCAUUGUGUAAUAGCUAAUCAGAGACUCAUCACUGUGCAAAAGGCUGGAGUGAUUGAUGGUGAGCAUUCAGCCAUAGAUAUCACCUCGAUGACAAUGUCCUGCCCCAAAGCUCAGGAUACAUCUCAGAAGAAGGUGUGGAAAGAACCAACAGCUGGAGGACCAGGAGGAGGGCCAUAAAAUGCUGCCCUCCCCACAUGAUGAGAUUGUUGCAUCAAGUUAGUAAAAAAUUCCAGCAUGGUGACCUGAUCUCAUGGAAGCUCAUAGACUCUGGACCACCAGUUAGGGAGCCUGCAUGGAACCAGCCUAGGCCCUCUACAUGUCUGUGAUAGUUGUGUAGCUAUGUCUGUUUGUAAGGUUCCUAGCAGUGAGAUCAGGACUUGUCCCUGGUGAUUAGCUGGCUUUUGGGAACCCUUUCCCCAUGCUGGAUUACCUAGCCCAGCCUUGAUACAGGGUGAGGAGCUAGGUCCUGCCUUAACUUGAUGUACUAUGGUUUGUUCAAACCCAUGGGAGGCCUUCCCCUUCCUGAAUGGAGAUGGAGGAGGAGUGGAUAGGAA
This 1126-nucleotide long non-coding RNA is filed under the name Cricetulus griseus (Chinese hamster). RNAcentral's name for it is "lncRNA (ENSCGRG00000025713.1)". Lineage: Eukaryota; Metazoa; Chordata; Mammalia; Rodentia; Cricetidae. The record is from RNAcentral.